RNAcentral lists this ribosomal RNA (497 nucleotides) under uncultured bacterium. Its description in RNAcentral is "partial 16S ribosomal RNA". It matches the Rfam family "Bacterial small subunit ribosomal RNA", at positions 28 to 507 of the family's 1533-position model. The record is from RNAcentral.
GAUGAACGCUGGCGGCGUGCCUAAUACAUGCAAGUCGAGCGAACGGACGAGAAGCUUGCUUCUCUGAUGUUAGCGGCGGACGGGUGAGUAACACGUGGAUAACCUACCUAUAAGACUGGGAUAACUUCGGGAAACCGGAGCUAAUACCGGAUAAUAUUUUGAACCGCAUGGUUCAAAAGUGAAAGACGGUCUUGCUGUCACUUAUAGAUGGAUCCGCGCUGCAUUAGCUAGUUGGUAAGGUAACGGCUUACCAAGGCAACGAUGCAUAGCCGACCUGAAAGGGUGGUCGGCCAGACUGUAUCUGAGACACGGUCCAGACUCCUACGGGGGGCAGCAGUAGGGAAUCUUCCGGGAUGGACGAGUGCCUGACGUAGCAACGCCGCGUGAGUGAUGAUGGUCUUCGGAUCGUAAAACUCUGUUAUUAGGGAAGAACAUAUGUGUAAGUAACUGUGCACAUCUUGACGGUACCUAAUCAGAAAGCCACGGCUAACUACGUG